Molecule: RNA transcript, 4544 nt
Organism: Mus musculus (house mouse)
Lineage: Eukaryota; Metazoa; Chordata; Mammalia; Rodentia; Muridae
Gene: Hsf5
Gene name: heat shock transcription factor family member 5
Exons: 6
Source: RefSeq, marked validated
ACUGGGGAGCUAAAGGCAAGAGGAAUAAGGCAAGUUUAAGGUCCAGGCUGGGCUUUAUAAAAAAAACCAAACCAAACUAGUACCCAUGGGUAGUCCCUCUUGUAUUUUGGGUUUGUUGAGUCCCCAUUCAAGUGAGGUUCAUUUCUUUCUUCUCUGGGAGAUCAUAGCUGGUCAUUAAGCACAUACUUAUCUUCUUUAUUCCCUUCUGCCAGGUACCAAGGACCUCAUCUAAUUUGAAUUUAAGGUGUGUUUUUUUUUAAGGUGUAACUAUGCUUCUGUAUACAAGAUGAAUGAGUUCAUGUACUACAGUUACAGUAUGUACCCCCAGCCCCCAACCCCUGUCAUUUUUAUUUGAAGAGAGCAGCAGUUCGACUGUUAGGGAAGACUGGAGUGGGUUCCUCUGUUCUCAGGAACCAUUAGCUGUGUAUCGCCUGAGUGCACUCUGCGUUCUGAAACCUCCGCUGGCCGUCCUGUCCUGCUGGAGCCCCUCAGAGUUUGCCUAACCGGCCGCCCGCUUUCUCCUCGGGAACCGUGGUUCCCUGGCGUGCUGCCCUCCUGGGAACAGACAGAGAGGGGCCGGUUCUGGAAGGCACGCGAAGGUAGCCUUGUGUCGCAGUGUCCCCGCUGCUGCCCUCGAAGGCGUGCAUCCCAACCGAGGGGGAGGGCGGGCUCGCGCCCCGUCGGCCACCACGCGGCGGGAACUCGAGGCCCCAUUGGCCACACCGGAGGGCGUGCCGGGACUCGUGCGCCAACGGUCCGGGCCUCGGCGGCCGGGCGCUGGCAGGAGGGGGCAGGGCGCAGCGAAGGCCCGGGGGAUCGAGAACGGUGGGAGAGCCAGGCUCGGCGGGGCGAGGCCCAGGGCCCGGGCGGGCGAUGGAGGAGGCGCUGCUGUCCACCCCCAUCAACCCCAACAACUUCCCCGCCAAGCUGUGGCGGCUGGUGAACAGCCCUCGGUACCGCUCCAUCCGCUGGGACGGCCGAGGCGAGGGGCUGCUCAUCGACCAGCCGCUCUUCGAGGCCGAGCUGCUCAGCCCGCCCGGCCCGGGUGCCGGGGGCGCGGGGGGAGCCGGGAGCAGCGGCGGGGGCGGCGGCAGCGGCGUCGGGGCGGCCGGGGCCGAGCCGGAGCUCUUCAAAACCACCAACUUCACCAGCUUCAUCCGCCAGCUCAACCUCUACGGCUUCCGCAAGGUGGUGCUGGGUGGGCCGGGGGCGGCGGGGCCCGGGCCCGGGCCUGGGGCUGGCGGGCCGGCGGGCGACGGGCCACUCCACCACUUCCACAGCCCGCAUUUCCGCCGCGACCAGCCUCAGCUGCUCGUUCACCUCAAGAGGCUCACCAGUGCCAACAAGGCCAAGCUGGCGGCCGGACUGGAGGUGCCCUGUCGCCCGCCCAACCGCUUCCAGCGGCUCCUCAUCACGUCAGCCUCCGCCUCGGCCUCAGCUUCUACCUCCCCGCUGCAGCAUCAGGACCCGCCGCCCCAACCUGCUGGGCCUCGGCCAGAGCAGCAUGGACCAGUGGCUGUAGGACAAUUUCACCGGUCAUUCCGGCGAGAUAAUUUGUCUCCUUAUUCCUACGUAUCAACUUCAUCCCACAACCACAGCGCUUUCCCUCUGAAAGGUUUAGAUCGCACCCCGAUUCCUCCCAGAACGUGGCAGAACUCCCUUGGAAUGCACCCUGGACAAGUGGAGACGUCUCCCACUUUUUCAGAUAAAGGGGUUCCAUUUCCUGUACUGCAGAGAUUUCCAACUGAGGUUACAUAUACGCUGCAGCCCAGCGCCACAUCUGUACACGUUCAACAAGGUCCUCAAACGAUGGUCAGCUCCUCCCAAAAAUAUAGUAACUACACACCCUCAGCGCAGUACUCCCAAGCCUACUAUCCAACAGCUGUGCUGCAGUGCUGCUCUCCUCCCACCCACAUGGACGCCCUCAGCAGCUGUGUCACUCCUACUGCCUCUUCCUAUGCACACUGUAAUUACUUCCAGCUCAACCUUUGGAAAAUAGCACAAUGCAGGAAUCUGCAACCAUCCAACAAACUCAUGUCAAACUGAAGGAGCAGCUAAAUCAUAACCCAUCUCCGUCUUCAGUAGUAUUUGUGCAGGAAGGGCUACCAUUCAGCACACCGCAGGUGGAUAGCAGUAUAAAAUGCCAGACCAAUCCCUCGGAGAAUAUCUUGCCUUCAGAACAAAUGGGAUUCCUUAUUUCAGAAAUGGGGCCUGCUAACAAGUCUACUAAAGACACAGGUUUAUCCACUCCAGCUAGAUACAGAGAGCGAAGAAGCAACUCACAAGGAAAGUCCCCUGAUCUUCAUCUGCUGGUGGACGUGGCCUGCAAGCAGGAACACUUCCCAAAGGAGGAGGAGUUAAAAGAAUGAGAAGCUGGGUGACAGCCGUGACAUCGUGCGCUAGCCACAGCUGGAGGGGACAGGCGCUGCACAUGACACACUGUUGGGAGUUUUUCAGUUCUGUUAAGGAAAAAAAAAAGCAUCUUUUUUGUUUUUGUUAAUUGAGAUUUUGUUAAAUUGGAAAUUGGGAGUUUGAUAUUCACUCCAACUGUUCAGUCCAGAUCGCUUACCUUGGCAAACUGCUAAACAGCUAGCGGCCUUUUUUUUUUUUUUUUAAUUUUUUUUAUGCUGCCCAGAUUCCUUUCAAAUGAAAAGUCCUGGCCUUCAAGAAGCAUCUAAAAACUACUGUGUUGAUGGUACUGGAGCAGUGUGUGUGCUGAGUCGUGAUGCCAUCUUGAACUGUAGUCAGCACAGUGUCGCCUGUCUGGAGUCACAGUGUGACCCUUUAAGGAAGAGGGUAUGAUAAACCAAGACACAAGAGGUCACCAAUAGCACAAGUCCAAGCGGGUCAGGGCCCCGGGAGGACGCUGGAAAACGCUCGUUUUCUAAGUGAGUAACCAAGAACGGGCUCUUGAUUCUGAACCCACGUCCUGUUUGAAGAGCAAGGCAUCCGGACUUGGCCCAUCCAUCACACUAACAGCCUCUGAGUCUUUAAUAUUCAUGGGAGUGUUUUUUCCCAUUUUCAUGUCUUUCUUUAAUUUGAAUGAUAAAUUAUCAUAAAUAGUAAGAAAGUUUUGUUAAUAUCACUUACAUAAAUGUCUUCUAAAGAAAAAUAUUUAAUUUGUUUAAUUAUAUUUAUAAAUGCUGAUAGAUGUAAAAGUUUUAAAGCUUUGUGUUUGUAUUAACAUUGCAGAGUGGAAGGAUUAAAGGACGCAUGUGUAAUUUUAUGUUUGAAGGGUAAAUGUACAAUAUGUAGACAAAAGCACUGAGAGGUUAACACUGUUUUCUUAUUUUAGAUUUUUACAUUCAGCUAGUAUAGAUUCUCAUCUAUAAGGGGUAUUGUGUGCAAAUCUGGGGGGAAAUUGCUUGGUAUCAUUUACUGGAAGCUAUGCUGUAAUUUGAAACAAACCUAUAUUUGAAAUAUUAAAUGGCUUAAGCUUCUGAGAGACUUUUGGACAGUGGAGUAGACUAUCACCAAUUUUCUUAUCCCUCUGUUGGACUGUGCACUUGAGUAGUCGAAUUGUGGGGCUGUUUUUAAGGAGAAGGAGGAGAUUUUAGAUGUCCAGUUUUUGUAGCCAAUCCAUGUCCACCCAGUGACAGCAAGAACUUUUGUAAUUUAAUGGAUUUUCAGGACUAGAACUUUCUUGCUGAAUACCCCCCCACCCCCACACACACACCCAGUUUCCUAAUAAGCGCUGCAGAAAUAAAAGGAAAGGUCUGUGGAUUUAAAGCUAAUGAAGCAAGCAGCGCUUCAGUGGCAUUGCCACUGUACCAGCCAUUGCAGGUUCACAGCUCACUUCCUGCUUUGCGCUGGGCCUUCCCAAUGGCAUUAGACCCAGAAGUGUCGCAGAGGUCGAGCUGCUCUGGAGGGUGAGCUCUGGAUUAGUCCACAGCGACUCAGUUUAAUUUUGAAACUAGGUUUUGAAAAAUGACUCUCUGACCAUCUAAUUAGACUAUUUGUGCUCCUUCCUGGGCACCUAAUCAUCUUUACUAGGGAGGCUUGAAAGAUACCCAGACGAUUGAGACGUCUACAUCUAUCUGUGCCAAAUGUCUUGGCAAAAUAUGUGAAAAGGAGACCGGCUUCUAAUGAAGGACCUUUGCCUUUUCUCUGUCACAUUGAAGAGCUGGUAAGCUGUGUAGGUGAUAGUUCUUCCCCUCGAGAUGCCUUUCUUAGCCUUGUGGCUAUGGAAAGAGGUAAUACCUUUAGAGGAACGUGUGUCAGGCAGAGCCUUGGCACAGACAUGGUUUCAGUGGUCUUCAGGCUUGAUCGAUGAGAUGCCUUGAUCUGCUCUCCAAACGUUUUUACAGACGAGCAUACCAGAUAGAGGAGCUGGAUCUCCUGCUCUGCUCACUGCCUGGAGCCCAUCUCCUAAAGCCAUCGUCAGUGACUUGUGCAAAUAGCAAGCAGUCAAGUGGAAUGUGCAUGUGAACAAGCCAGCAGGGCCUGACACACACUUGAGUUCCUGUCUAGCACAUUCGCGUUUCAGCACCUUAAGCACCGAUCAGUUUCAGUCAGUCAACAAUAAAAUGAAUGUUCCAACUAGA